This 70-nucleotide transfer RNA is filed under the name Podarcis lilfordi (Lilford's wall lizard). Its description in RNAcentral is "tRNA.Lys". The stretch from base 5 to 62 matches the Rfam family "tRNA", at positions 8 to 63 of the family's 71-position model. Rfam says of the family: Transfer RNA (tRNA) molecules are approximately 80 nucleotides in length. Their secondary structure includes four short double-helical elements and three loops (D, anti-codon, and T loops). The record is from RNAcentral. Lineage: Eukaryota; Metazoa; Chordata; Lepidosauria; Squamata; Lacertidae.
GAAAUGGCUCAGUCAGUAGAGCAUGAGACUCUUAAUCUCAGUAUUGUAGGUUUGAGCCCCAUGUUGGGCA